Spinacia oleracea (spinach) is the source of this 1440-nucleotide long non-coding RNA. RefSeq lists it as uncharacterized. The record is from RefSeq and is a predicted model, not a curated record. The transcript has 2 exons. NCBI's taxonomy places the organism in Eukaryota, Viridiplantae, Streptophyta, Magnoliopsida, Caryophyllales, Amaranthaceae.
UAAUAGGGGUGAAGUGAGAAAUAAUAUAAUAUUGUUAGAAUAUUUCCAUUUUUAGAAACAGGUCAAGUAUUAAGGGACGACCCGAUAAGGAAAACAGGUCAAGUAUUCCGGGACGGAGGAGUAUUAUCCUUGAAACUACGCCGUAUAUAUUAUUUUCGUACUGCAUUAUAUACGAAUAUAUUUUUGGUACACAUGGUAGAGAUUAAGUCAAAAGUCUUACGUUAAGAUAAUUUUUACCUAUUUUUCUCGUAAAUACGUUAAUAUUAGUGUGCACCCAACAAACGCACGUGCGGAAACGCUGGUUCAAAGGAAAACCCCCCUCACUCUCUACUGCCCUUUUCUCUCUCAACGCCUUUUCACGCUUUCCUUCUCUCUCCUCCUGGUGGAUGAAAAAUGUUGAAGAAAAUUCAACAAAGAAACGGACGAACAAUUGAUGAAUCUAGCAAACACGAAACUGAAGGUAAUUGCAAAUUCAUCCAGAAAAUCGUCUUCGACUCGGGGUCCUAAACCCUAAUCCCAAAUUCUUCGAUCUCUGGGUUCCAAGCCAGCAAGGGAAAAGCCUUUACAUUAGACUUCAUGCUUGAAAAUAGCAGAGGAUAUAGCACAAGGCCUAUCUUAUAUUCAUCAAGCUUGGAGAUUAUUCCACGGCAACCUUAAAUCCUCUAAUGUCCUCCUUGGUUCUGACUUUGAGGCAUGUAUUACAGACUAUUCCUCAAGUGUUUUGACUGAAAAGUCAUUAGCAGGUGAUGAUCCUAGCUUGUGGUCAUAUAAAGCACCAGAGAUCCGUAAGUCUGAGUGUUGCUGCUUGAACUCUUGACAGGAAAACCACUUUUUGAGCAUCCAUAUCUGACUCCAAACGACAUAGUACACUGGGUAAGAUCUGCAAGAGAUAUUGCAGAUGGUGGUAGUGACGAGAAUAGGCUUGUGAUGCUUCUUGAGGUAGCCAUAGCAUGCAGUGUUGUCGCAUCCCCGGAGCAAAGGUCUAACAUGUGGAAAGUUUUGAAAAUGUUGCAGGAAAUCAAGGAGGUGGCACUGAUGGAAGAAGAUAAUGGACCACACUCUGGUGAAGGGAUGAAAUCACGUUAAUAAAAAAUAAAAAUAAAAAUGUAGCACAGGCGUAAACUCCAGAGAAGACAGGCUUGAAGUGAAAUGCAGACUCUCGAUCAAUGGCCUAUGUAGGAUUCGAACCUACAUCAUGUGCAAAAGCACAUAACUCUACCAAUUGAGCUAAUAGGCUUUAUUAUUUGAAACUCAUUUUCACAGCAUAUUUUACACCCAAAUCCCCAAUUCUCAAAACCCUUAAAGACCCUUAAGAAAUAAACACUCUUUAGAAUCAAAGUAACCCAAUUCUUCCUAGAGUGACCCUUUUACAUAUAUAUGACUCUUUUUUUUUUGGGCAUCGUGACCCUUAAACAAGAUAAGCAUCCAUUUUGAAUCGAA